GCGAGAUGAUGAUAAAAUUUAUGGUCUGUCAAUCCACUGAGUAUUAAAUCAAAUUUGAAACUAUGUUGUUUUCUGCGUGAGGUGAGGCGAGGCGACGGGCCAGGCGCCUCGC
Molecule: small nucleolar RNA, 112 nt
Filed under: Macleaya cordata
Lineage: Eukaryota; Viridiplantae; Streptophyta; Magnoliopsida; Ranunculales; Papaveraceae
Description: Small nucleolar RNA snoR14
Rfam family: Small nucleolar RNA snoR14
Source: Rfam by way of RNAcentral